AACGAACGCUGGCGGCAUGCCUAACACAUGCAAGUCGAACGAGACCUUCGGGUCUAGUGGCGCACGGGUGCGUAACGCGUGGGAACCUGCCCUUAGGUUCGGAAUAACUCCCCGAAAGGGGUGCUAAUACCGGAUAAUGUCUUCGGACCAAAGAUUUAUCGCCUUUGGUUGGGCCCGCGUUGGAUUAGCUAGUUGGUAGGGUAAAAGCCUACCAAGGCGACGAUCCAUUGCUGGUCUGAGAGGAUGAUCAGCCACACUGGGACUGGGACACGGCCCAGACUCCUACGGGAGGCAGCAGUGGGGAAUAUUGGACAAUGGGCGAAAGCCUGAUCCAGCAAGGCCGCGUGAGUGAUGAAGGCCUUAGGGUUGUAAAGCUCUUUUACCCGGGAUGAUAAUGACAGUACCGGGAGAAUAAGCUCCGGCUAACUCCGU
This 432-nucleotide ribosomal RNA is filed under the name uncultured bacterium. Its description in RNAcentral is "partial 16S ribosomal RNA". It matches the Rfam family "Bacterial small subunit ribosomal RNA", at positions 29 to 506 of the family's 1533-position model. The record is from RNAcentral.